Molecule: long non-coding RNA, 2121 nt
Filed under: Homo sapiens (human)
Lineage: Eukaryota; Metazoa; Chordata; Mammalia; Primates; Hominidae
Description: HSALNT0398672
Source: RNAcentral
CUGUAGUCCCAGCUACUCGGGAGGCUGACACAGGAGAAUCACUUGAACCCGGGAGUUGGAGGUUGCAGUGAGAGCCGAGAUUGUGCCUGGGUGACAGAGCGAGACUCCAUCUUAAAAAAUAAAAAAAAGGAAAUAUAACUUAAGGAAGUCCUGAAUUUAAAAAAAUGAUUACUCAAGGUAAAAAAAUCAGAGUUAUGAAGGUGCUGGUACCUUGUAGUUAUUAAUAAAUGUUUGAAUGGAUAGGCUUGUGGGAAGCAUAACAAGUGUAUCUCAAAAAUGUCCACACCCUAAUUCAUGAAUGCAGGAAUAUGUGAUGUUGCACGGCAAGGGAAAUUUCAGUUGUAGAUGGACUGAAGUUAUUAAUCAGCUAACCUUAAGAUAGGGAGAUUAUCCUGAAUUGUGCCAGUGGGCCCAAUGUAAUCACAGGGUAUUAGAAGUAGAUGAGGGGUGCCAGAAGAAGAGAAAGAGGUGAGGAUUUACUGUUAACUGUAUUUACUGUUAACAUUUUGUUAACAGGUAUGUGUCCUGUCUCCCACUCCCCCACUAAACACGUGUGUAUGUUUGUUUCUGGAACAUUAAAUCCUGCUAAUUGAUCAUGUAGAUGAGUUAAAGACUCUUCAAAUCUUAGUUUGUGAAAGAAAUCCAACCCAGCCAUGGGUCACAUUACAUUUGUGUACAUGUGGAGAAGAGAGAGGCAGGCCAGUUAUCUUUCUCUUGCUUUGAAAGGCUUCACGUUUACACCUUAUAGAAUUAGAGAUACGCCAUUUCAAACUAAUCCCAUGACAGCAGAUUAUCAAGAAAGCCUUUCAGAAUUAGAUUUUCUAUGAUUUUAAUGUUUCUUUGACAGAGAAUGAUAAUCAGUGAUAUCUGAUGCCUUCCAAAUAUACACAAGUAACAUUUCCAUGAUUAUAUGUACAAGUAACAAAUCCAAGGUAUAUGAAAUCCAAAUAUAUGAAAUGACUAAGAUGGCAACAAUUUGAAAUAAUUACACGAAUCUCCCAUAUCACAUAGAACACAUGAUUCAGUCUCUUGCUAAUAUUCUUGAUUUGGUAUCUCUUCUCAGAUUAGAUUCUUUAAACUUGAUUUCUGAUGCAGAAUCAUGUCUCUAUUUCCCUAGUUGCUGGUAAAGAGGGAACAUUUUCUUACGUGUCUUAGAAUCGUUUUUGCUAAUUCUGCUGAUUCAAAUAAAUUCAUGCUUAACAUCAGGCUUGGAAAGUUAUUUUUAGUUAGCAUUCAUGAUAUUGAUAGCUGAUUGAGAAGCACAUAUUUUAGCAUAAGAAAACAGCAGCCUCAUGUUUCUUUUCUAAAAAUGGAUUAAGGGAUAUGUAAUGUCAGUGAUCUUUAAUAAAAACAGCUAACUUAUGUAAAGUAAUUGUUAUGUAUUACUAUGUUUUAUGUAGAUUAUCUUACUUGAUAAUUGAGAUAGCCAUAUCUCAUGGUAUUUAUAUUCCAGUUUCACCAGUGAGGAAAAAGACACUGCGAGGUUAGUAACUGUCAGAGUUCAGAAUCACACCCUGAAAGUUGUACUGCAGAGCCUGUGUUCUUAAUUUCUCCAAAGUACCUCUGCCCAAAUUACAUGUACCUUUUUAAAUCUACUUUCUUCAUUUGGUAAUACAUCAUAAAUGCUUUCUCAAUUAUAUGGAUCAGUAUCACUAGUAAAUGUAUUUUAUGUCAUGAUAUAGCAGAUCAUAAUUUAUUUAAUCUGUCCUCUACUGUCAGAUAUUUCUUUUUUUUUUUCUGAGACAGAGUCUCGCUCUGUUGCCCAGGCUGGAGUGCAGUGGCGCAAUCAGAGCCCACUGCAGCCUCCGCCUCCCAGGUUUGAGCGAUUCUCCUGCCUCAGCCUCCCGAGUAGCUGGGACUACAGCUGCCUGUCCCCACGCCUGGAUGAUUUUUUUGUAUUUUUAGUAGAGACGAGGUUUCACAAUGUUGGCCAGGCUGCUCUCAAACAACUGACCUCAGGUGAUCCGCCCACCUUGGCCUCCCAAGGUGCUGGGAUUACAGGCAUGAGCCACCGCACCCAACCUAUUUUUUUGAUUUUUUUAAAAUUAUUCUCUGAAGGCUGGGCGUGGUGGCUCACGCCUAUAAUCCCAGCGCUUUGGGAGCUGAGGCGGGUGGAUCACG